AUUAAGGUAGCAUAACUAGGCCAUGCAACAGGCUUAAAACCUCAACAUAGAUGUUCAAAUCAUCUCCUUAAUA
RNAcentral lists this transfer RNA (73 nucleotides) under Sinomicrurus peinani. RNAcentral describes it as "tRNA-Leu". It matches the Rfam family "tRNA". From Rfam's summary of the family: Transfer RNA (tRNA) molecules are approximately 80 nucleotides in length. Their secondary structure includes four short double-helical elements and three loops (D, anti-codon, and T loops). Further hydrogen bonds mediate the characteristic L-shaped molecular structure. tRNAs have two regions of fundamental functional importance: the anti-codon, which is responsible for specific mRNA codon recognition, and the 3' end, to which the tRNAs corresponding amino acid is attached (by aminoacyl-tRNA synthetases). tRNAs cope with the degeneracy of the genetic code in two manners: having more than one tRNA (with a specific anti-codon) for a particular amino acid; and 'wobble' base-pairing, i.e. permitting non-standard base-pairing at the 3rd anti-codon position. The record is from RNAcentral. Lineage: Eukaryota; Metazoa; Chordata; Lepidosauria; Squamata; Elapidae.